UCUACUCGAAGCUGCACCAAUAUCAAGCAACCCUGGUCACUAAAAACGGGUCCGAGAAAAACAAAUGGUUACCAUCUUGUCAAAAUCAUCAAAUGACCGAUCGCUGAAACAUCUUGUGAAAAGUGACGUGAUGUUCCAACACAAAGCCCCUCUCCUAAAUGAAUCCAACCGAAACCAACUAAUGUAAAUCAAAACACACUAACUACUUAAGGCCCAAUAAGUGGAGUGAAACACAUCAAUAAUGUGGUAAAGUGAUCUUACGGAACUCUCCUCAAGAAAACUUUUAAUAUUCCGAGAGAAGACUAUAUUACUGAUAGCAUGGCCUGCAAUGCAUGGUAUCAUAGAUUGAUAUAAUACUGUAGAUGGUAUAUAAGGGCAAGCAAGGCAGCGGUAAACGUGUUUAGAAAAAAAAAAGAAAAUAAAGAAGAGGAACACGAAGAAAAGAGUAUGAAUAACCUAAUAACAAAAGGCAGCGACAGCCAACUGACCCAAAAGUACGCGAACCUUGAUGAUUCUUUAGCAUACAUAAAAUAUGACAAUCUAGGGCUAAUUUUAUCAGUAACUGGUCUGUUGGCUACUAUAUUGCUACUGAUAGUUGUCGUGCGAUGUUGCUAUUUCAACUAUCGCUAUCAGAAAGACGUGAAAAACCGCAUGGAGUUGGAAGACAAGAUGAUUUCAAAGUUUGGAAUGAGGGAUUUUUAUUAAAGAAGGUUGAUGUAGCACGACACAAACACUGCAACAAGGACAACAAAACAGCUUGAAGUGGCUGAUGCUUGCACUUAGGUCAAAGCUGAAAUCGAAAGGAGUGGAGCGGAACGGUAAAUUGCUCAAUUGUCUCCCCUGACGAUUCGGACGUGGUUCAAGCGUUAUGUCAAGUUUAGAAGAGAGAUGCACAAUAAAGAGGACAAACGAUUUGAUAUUUGACACGGGGAGUAGCUGAUUUAAAAAAAAUCGAGCUACACGCAGGCCCUUAAAAAUCGAGGAAGCAAAGGCUGGCAGAAAAAUCACCACAUCCUUCGGGAAAAAAUCUCAAAUGGUCUGUCUCUUACCACUAUGAACAAUUAAUGAUGUCGUAGCAAUAACAUUUAUUAGAGGUUUGGUGAUUACGCCCAAAGCAAUGGUACGCACUAGACAGACAUAUUCUAUUGUCAUAAUUUAUUGGCAGUGAAUUGGUAAAGUAAUUAAAAAAAAUAAACAGGGGCGGAUCCAGGAUCUCCAAAAUGGACAGAUUUAUUGUUCUACCGCCGAUCCCCCUUUUUUUUUAUCUUGUUAUGAAAAUAGUGGUGCCGUGACCCGGUCCCACCCCUAGAUCCGCCCAUGGUAUGUCAUGGUAUGUCAAGGGCGGAUCUACGGGUGGGAUGACCUACCCUAUUUUCAGAUAUUUAGAUUAUGAUAAGCAGUAGGAGAGUCGGGCAGCUACAAGAACACAUGUAAUACUAAAGAAUCUUAUUUGAAAAAUAGUAAAUAUAUAACAAAAUUAAAUAUUUGAAAUCAUAAAUAAUAGUAAAGAACCUGGUUUGAAAAGUGAUUUUGGCGUUUCAAAGCUUACAAAAUUUCAUAUUUUCCCGGACAUCGGAGAACAUGCGAUUUCACACGCACACCAGUGCCGCAGCAGGCUUCGAAAUAUAUUGGGGCGGGGAGGGGGGGGGGAGGGGGGCAGAAUACAGAAACAUUAAGAGAAUAUUUGGGGGCAGCCCCUCCCAACUGGUCAUUUCCUUAUAAUUUAAAUAUUUGGGAGAGUCAGGUGCUUCUAGUGCCCAAUUCCCUUACGGCCCUGCGUUCAUGAUUUUUUUUUUUUUUUGCACUUCUGGACGAGGUUUACACACACUCGUGAAUUCAAAUGCACAUGAUAUGUAUGUAAUUUACGUCAAAUAAAAAUAUCCCUUCGUUA
This is a long non-coding RNA of Nematostella vectensis (starlet sea anemone), 1891 nucleotides long. RefSeq lists it as uncharacterized. Lineage: Eukaryota; Metazoa; Cnidaria; Anthozoa; Actiniaria; Edwardsiidae. The record is from RefSeq and is a predicted model, not a curated record. The transcript has 2 exons.